Molecule: long non-coding RNA, 349 nt
Organism: Echinops telfairi (small Madagascar hedgehog)
Lineage: Eukaryota; Metazoa; Chordata; Mammalia; Afrosoricida; Tenrecidae
Exons: 3
Source: RefSeq, a predicted model, not a curated record
CAGCGCGGGGCAGGGGAGACGAGUAGGAAGCACGAGCAUCCAAAGCUCCGGGCUGUUGUCCUGCGAGUCAGCCAGGUGCCACUUGAACAGACGCCAAGGACAGUAACAAAACAAUUAAAAGCCCGAACCCAAACCCCGCCACCAUCCUAGGAAUACACUGUGUUGACUUUUCUGUCUUGUGUCACGGACGUAGCUGUAAGGAACCUUGGUGGUACAGUGGAUAAGUGCUCGGCUGCUCACAAAGGUUGGGAGUUCCAGCCUACCCACCCAAGCAUCUCUCUGAGGACAACAGGUAUAUAAUUACUCUUGAAUCAGUAAGCCAUGGCAAGUAAGAAAUUUGCUGUUAAAG